AAGUAGGUUUUAGUAUCCUCGGUCGUACACGAACGAACGCUGGCGGCAGGCUUAACACAUGCAAGUCGAACGCCCCGCAAGGGGAGUGGCAGACGGGUGAGUAACGCGUGGGAAUCUACCCAACCCUGCGGAAUAGCUCUGGGAAACUGGAAUUAAUACCGCAGUACGCCCUACGGGGGAAAGAUUUAUCGGGGAUGGAUGAGCCCGCGUUGGAUUAGCUAGUUGGUGGGGUAAAGGCCUACCAAGGCGACGAUCCAUAGCUGGUCUGAGAGGAUGAUCAGCCACAUUGGGACUGAGACACGGCCCAAACUCCUACGGGAGGCAGCAGUGGGGAAUAUUGGACAAUGGGCGCAAGCCUGAUCCAGCCAUGCCGCGUGAGUGAUGAAGGCCUUAGGGUUGUAAAGCUCUUUCACCGGUGAAGAUAAUGACGGUAACCGGAGAAGAAGCCCCCGGCUAACUUCGUG
Molecule: ribosomal RNA, 464 nt
Filed under: uncultured Pseudomonadota bacterium
Lineage: Bacteria; Pseudomonadati; Pseudomonadota
Description: bacterial SSU rRNA
Rfam family: Bacterial small subunit ribosomal RNA
Source: RNAcentral